This 71-nucleotide transfer RNA is filed under the name bacterium. RNAcentral's name for it is "tRNA-His". It matches the Rfam family "tRNA". From Rfam's summary of the family: Transfer RNA (tRNA) molecules are approximately 80 nucleotides in length. Their secondary structure includes four short double-helical elements and three loops (D, anti-codon, and T loops). The record is from RNAcentral.
GUGUCUGUAGCUUAGUGGUAAAGUAUCUGGUUGUGAUCCAGAGGACUCGGAUUCGAUUUCCGACAGACACC